This 954-nucleotide ribosomal RNA is filed under the name uncultured bacterium. RNAcentral's name for it is "bacterial SSU rRNA". It matches the Rfam family "Bacterial small subunit ribosomal RNA", at positions 8 to 936 of the family's 1533-position model. The record is from RNAcentral.
AGAGUUUGAUCCUGGCUCAGACCUAACGCUUGUGGUGUGUCUUAGUCAUGCAAGUCGAACGAGAAAGUCACCUUCGAGUGGCGAGUACAGUGGCGAACGGGUGAGUAGCACGUGGGCAACCUGCCCCUAGGUUGAGAAUGACACUUCCAACGAGGUGCUAAUACUGAAUGAUAAGGCGAGUUGAUGACUCGUUUUUAAAGGUGGCCUCUACUUGUAAGCUGCCGCCUAGGGAUGGGCCCGCGUCGUAUUAGCUUGUUGGUAGGGUAGUGGCCUACCAAGGCGACGAUGCGUAGCCGGCCUGAGAGGGUGAACGGCCACACUGGCACUGAGAUAAGGGCCAGUCUCCUACGGGAGCCAGCAGUCUAGAAAUUUGCACAAUCGCCGAAAGGCGGAUGCAGCGACACCACGUGGAGGAUGAAGCCCCUCGGGGUGUAAACUCCUGUCAGAAGGGAAGAAGGCACAGGCGUUAAUACCGCUCGUUGCUUGACGGUACCUUCGGAGGAAGCUCCGGCUAACUACGUGCCAGCAGCCGCGGUAAUACGUAGGGAGCGAGCGUUGUUCGGAUUCACUGGGCGUAAAGGGCACGUAGGCGGGUAUGCAAGUCGGUUGUGAAAUCCUCUGGCUCAACCAGAGAACUGCAGCCGAAACUGCAUACCUUGAGUCCAGCAGAGGGAAUCGGAAUCCUAGGUGUAGCGGUGAAAUGCGUAGAUAUCUGGGAGAACAUCAGUGGCGAAGGCGGAUUCCUGGGCUGGAACUGACGCUGAGGUGCGAAAGCUAAAGGGAGCGAACAGGAUUAGAUACCCUGGUAGUCUUAGCCGUAAACGAUGGGUACUAGGUGUUGGAGGACAUUGACCCCUUCGGUGCCGUAGCUAACGCAUUAAGUACCCCGCCUGGGGAGUACGGCCGCAAGGCUGAAACUCAAAGGAAUUGACGGGGACCCGCACAAGCAGUGGA